CAGUCACAGCACAUGACGGAGGUUGUGAGGCGCUGCCCCCACCAUGAGCGCUGCUCAGAUAGCGAUGGUUGGCUCUGACUGUACCACCAUCCACUACAACUACA
This 104-nucleotide small RNA is filed under the name Pan troglodytes (chimpanzee). Its description in RNAcentral is "processed transcript". The record is from RNAcentral. Lineage: Eukaryota; Metazoa; Chordata; Mammalia; Primates; Hominidae.